CCUACGGGGGGCUGCAGUGGGGAAUAUUGGACAAUGGGGGCAACCCUGAUCCAGCCAUGCCGCGUGUGUGAAGAAGGCCCUCGGGUUGUAAAGCACUUUCAGUGAGGAAGAACGCCUGGUGGUUAAUACCCAUCAGGAAAGACAUCACUCACAGAAGAAGCACCGGCUAACUCCGUGCCAGCAGCCGCGGUAAUACGGAGGGUGCGAGCGUUAAUCGGAAUUACUGGGCGUAAAGCGCGCGUAGGUGGCUUGAUAAGCCGGUUGUGAAAGCCCCGGGCUCAACCUGGGAACGGCAUCCGGAACUGUCAAGCUAGAGUGCAGGAGAGGAAGGUAGAAUUCCCGGUGUAGCGGUGAAAUGCGUAGAGAUCGGGAGGAAUACCAGUGGCGAAGGCGGCCUUCUGGACUGACACUGACACUGAGGUGCGAAAGCGUGGGUAGCAAACAGGAUUAGAUACCCCGGUAGUA
RNAcentral lists this ribosomal RNA (465 nucleotides) under Vreelandella stevensii. RNAcentral's name for it is "partial 16S ribosomal RNA". It matches the Rfam family "Bacterial small subunit ribosomal RNA", at positions 338 to 795 of the family's 1533-position model. Lineage: Bacteria; Pseudomonadati; Pseudomonadota; Gammaproteobacteria; Oceanospirillales; Halomonadaceae. The record is from RNAcentral.